AGGCUGCAACUCGCCUGCAUGAAGUCGGAAUUGCUAGUAAUCGUGGAUCAGCAUGCCACGGUGAAUACGUUCCCGGGCCUUGUACACACCACCCGUCACACCAUGGGAGUCGGUAACACCCGAAGCCUGUAGUCUAACCGCAAGGAGGACGCAGUCGAAGGUGGGAUUGAUGACUGGGGUGAAGUCGUAACAAGGUAGC
This 199-nucleotide ribosomal RNA is filed under the name uncultured bacterium. Its description in RNAcentral is "partial 16S ribosomal RNA". It matches the Rfam family "Bacterial small subunit ribosomal RNA", at positions 1302 to 1500 of the family's 1533-position model. The record is from RNAcentral.